Molecule: ribosomal RNA, 397 nt
Filed under: uncultured bacterium
Lineage: Bacteria
Description: bacterial SSU rRNA
Rfam family: Bacterial small subunit ribosomal RNA
Source: RNAcentral
CGAACGCCGGCGGCAGGCUUAACACAUGCAAGUCGAACGCAUCGCAGGAUGAGUGGCAGACGGGUGAGUAACGCGUGGGAACAUACCCUUUUCUACGGAAUAGCUCUGGGAAACUGGAAUUAAUACCGUAUACGCCCUACGGGGAAAGAUUUAUCGGGAAGGAUUGGCCCGACGUUGGAUUAGCUAGUUGGUGGGGUAAAGGCCUACCAAGGCGACGAUCCAUAGCUGGUCUGAGAGGAUGAUCAGCCUACAUUGGGACUGAGACACGGCCCAAACGUCCUACGGGAGGCAGCAGUGGGGAAUAUUGGACAAUGGGCGCAAGCCUGAUCCAGCCAUGCCGCGUGAGUGAUGAAGGCCUUAGGGUUGUAAAGACCCUUUCACCGAUGAAGAUAAUGAC